GCAAGUCGAACGAGAACGGGACCUUCGGGUCCUUAGUAAAGUGGCGCACGGGUGAGUAACGCGUAGGCAAUUUGCCCUCAGCUGGGGAAUAACUUCGGGAAACCGAGGCUAAUACCACAUAAUGUCGGAGGACCGCAUGGUCCACCGAUCAAAGCUCCAGCGGCUGAGGAUAAGCCUGCGUUGGAUUAGCUAGUUGGUGAGGUAAUAGCUCACCAAGGCGACGAUCCAUAGCGGGUCUGAGAGGAUGAUC
RNAcentral lists this ribosomal RNA (250 nucleotides) under uncultured bacterium. Its description in RNAcentral is "partial 16S ribosomal RNA". It matches the Rfam family "Bacterial small subunit ribosomal RNA", at positions 57 to 305 of the family's 1533-position model. The record is from RNAcentral.